UAAGCUUCAGCUAUACACGACCGUACCGCAAACCGACACUGGUGCGCGAGAUGAGUAUUCUAAGGCGCUUGAGAGAACUCAGGAGAAGGAACUCGGCAAAUUGACACCGUAACUUCGGAAGAAGGUGUGCCUUUAGUAGGUGAACCUGUACAAGGGGAGCCCAAUGAGGUUGCAAAAAAUCGGUGGCUGCGACUGUUUAUUAAAAACACAGCACUCUGCAAACACGAAAGUGGACGUAUAGGGUGUGACGCCUGCCCGGUGCUGGAAGAUUAAAUGAUGGGGUGCAAGCUCUUGAUUGAAGUCCCAGUAAACGGCGGCCGUAACAAUAACGGUCCUAAGGUAGCGAAAUUCCUUGUCGGGUAAGUUCCGACCUGCACGAAUGGCGUAACGAUGGCCACACUGUCUCCUCCUGAGACUCAGCGAAGUUGAAAUGUUUGUGAUGAUGCAAUCUCCCCGCGGAAAGACGGAAAGACCCCAUGAACCUUUACUGUAGCUUUGUAUUGGACUUUGAACAGAUCUGUGUAGGAUAGGUGGGAGGCUUUGAAGCAGGGUCGCUAGAUCUUGUGGAGCCAACGUUGAAAUACCACCCUGGUGUGUUUGAGGUUCUAACCUAGGUCCAUUAUCUGGAUCGGGGACAGUGCAUGGUAGGCAGUUUGACUGGGGCGGUCUCCUCCCAAAGCGUAACGGAGGAGUUCGAAGGUACGCUAGUUACGGUCGGACAUCGUGACGAUAGUGCAAUGGCAUAAGCGUGCUUAACUGCGAGACUGACAAGUCGAGCAGAUGCGAAAGCAGGACAUAGUGAUCCGGUGGUUCUGUAUGGAAGGGCCAUCGCUCAACGGAUAAAAGGUACUCUGGGGAUAACAGGCUGAUACCGCCCAAGAGUUCAUAUCGACGGCGGUGUUUGGCACCUCGAUGUCGGCUCAUCUCAUCCUGGGGCUGUAGCCGGUCCCAAGGGUAUGGCUGUUCGCCAUUUAAAGAGGUACGUGAGCUGGGUUUAAAACGUCGUGAGACAGUUUGGUCCCUAUCUUCCGUGGGCGCUGCAGAUUUGAGGAAGCCUGCUCCUAGUACGAGAGGACCGGAGUGGACAUACCUCUGGUGUAUCGGUUGUCACGCCAGUGGCAUUGCCGAGUAGCUAAGUAUGGAAGAGAUAAACGCUGAAAGCAUCUAAGCGUGAAACUCGUUUCAAGAUGAGAUCUGCCGGGGCCUUGAGCCCCCUAAAGAGUCGUUCAAGACCAGGACGUUGAUAGGUCAGGUGUGGAAGCGCAGUAAUGCGUUAAGCUAACUGAUACUAAUUGCUCGUGCGGCUUGACCA
Molecule: ribosomal RNA, 1312 nt
Filed under: metagenome
Description: bacterial LSU rRNA
Rfam family: Bacterial large subunit ribosomal RNA
Source: RNAcentral